RNAcentral lists this transfer RNA (77 nucleotides) under Planctomycetota bacterium. RNAcentral describes it as "tRNA-Met". It matches the Rfam family "tRNA". Rfam says of the family: Transfer RNA (tRNA) molecules are approximately 80 nucleotides in length. Their secondary structure includes four short double-helical elements and three loops (D, anti-codon, and T loops). Further hydrogen bonds mediate the characteristic L-shaped molecular structure. tRNAs have two regions of fundamental functional importance: the anti-codon, which is responsible for specific mRNA codon recognition, and the 3' end, to which the tRNAs corresponding amino acid is attached (by aminoacyl-tRNA synthetases). tRNAs cope with the degeneracy of the genetic code in two manners: having more than one tRNA (with a specific anti-codon) for a particular amino acid; and 'wobble' base-pairing, i.e. permitting non-standard base-pairing at the 3rd anti-codon position. The record is from RNAcentral. Lineage: Bacteria; Pseudomonadati; Planctomycetota.
GGCGGGGUAGCUCAGCUGGUUAGAGCGGAGGCUUCAUAAGCCUCAGGUCAGCGGUUCAAGUCCGCUCCCCGCUACCA